GUUCUGUGGGAAUUAGAGGUAAACACCUCCCUUGAACGUGAGUUCUCAUAGUAUAAGCGAUGUCCGUUGGAGAGCCUGAUGAUGUCCCACCACGAUGCAACGGCUCUCCUGGCUGGGGCUAGUGGAAGCAGUUUUGAUGGAAGUUAAGGAUUUGCAACUUAGAGGAUUUCUGGGAUAAUUCUCUUAAAGUAGUGACUUCACCAACAGGAAUUCCAGGCCCCCUGGUGUGCCAGCUCAAGGGAUAAGCAGAGUAUGUCGGGUUCCCAGGUGCCAAUGAACAGAGAAAUAGCCAAAGGGCUCGCUGAGUGGGAGCAGAGGUAAAUGGGCCUGGAUAAUUGGAAAACUGGAUAGUCACGAGGUUAACUAUGCCACAGGCAAGAAUCCAGAUGGUUCCAACCUACCUCAGCCAGUGUGAGAAUGCCCAGUAGAUGUGUUUCUUUUGUAGUUCCUUUACUAGAAGCUUUAUAAGAGCAGGCAUGUUCACUGUUUCACAGGCUAAUAGAAAUAAAGUAUGUAUGUGCAUCUUAUGUAACAUAUCCCUACGUAUGUAUGCUGAAUUCAGUAGGCAGCCAUGUUCAGUAUUUUAGAGCUGUAGCCAUCACUCAACUCCCUUGUGUUGAUAAGAAGAAACAUUCGGGGAAAAGAAGACCUAUUUGUUUAUUGUAAGAUUCAAAAUCUCUAAGGGUAAUGGCCUUUAUUUCUUUCCUACUCAGAAGUUUGUUUUUCCCUAUUUAAUAGCUCAUACAGGAUUUUGAAAAAGGAAAACUUAAAAAUUUUAAUUAGAACCAUAUCCUAAAUAUCCUUCUGCUCUUCUGCAUGUUUGUUUAUUUUU
Molecule: long non-coding RNA, 832 nt
Filed under: Homo sapiens (human)
Lineage: Eukaryota; Metazoa; Chordata; Mammalia; Primates; Hominidae
Description: HSALNT0380488
Source: RNAcentral